Molecule: non-coding RNA, 829 nt
Filed under: Drosophila sechellia
Lineage: Eukaryota; Metazoa; Arthropoda; Insecta; Diptera; Drosophilidae
Description: Eukaryotic large subunit ribosomal RNA
Rfam family: Eukaryotic large subunit ribosomal RNA
Source: Rfam by way of RNAcentral
GUUUGACUGGGGCGGUAGAUCUCUGAAAGAAUAUCGGACGGGUCUUGAGGCCUGCUUGGACGGACAGAAACCAAACAGAUAGAAAAAGGGCAAAUGCUGACUUGAUCUCGGUGUUCAGUACACCCAGGGACGGCAAAAGCUCGGCCUAUCGAUCCUUUUGGUUUAAAGAUUUUUUAACAAGAGGUGGCAGAAAAGUUACCAUAGGGAUCACUGGCUUGGUGGCGGGCCAAGCGUUCAUAGCGACGUCGCUUUUUGAUCCUUCGAUGUCAGAUCUUCCUAUCAUUGUGAAGCAAAAUUCACCAAGCCCUGGAUUGUUCACCCAUGCAAGGGAACGUGAGCUGGGUUUAGACCGUCGUGAGACAGGUUAGUUUUACCCUACUAAUGACAAAACGUUGUUGCGACAGCAUUCCUGCGUAGUACGAGAGGAACCGCAGGUACGGACCAAUGGCACAAUACUUGUUCGAGCGAACAGUGGUAUGACGCUACGUCCGUUGGAUUAUGCCUGAACGCCUCUAAGGUCGUAUCCGUGCUGGACUGCAAUGAUAAAUAAGGGGCAAUUUGCAUUGUAUGGCUUCUAAACCAUUUAAAGUUUAUAAUUUAUUUUAUAAACGACAAUGGAUGUGAUGCCAAUGUAAUUUGUAACAUAGUAAAUUAGGAGGAUCUUCGAUCACCUGAUGCCGCGCUAGUUACAUAUAAAAGCAUUAUUUAAUACAAUGACAAAGCCUAGAAUCAAUUGUAAACGACUUUUGUAACAGGCAAGGUGUUGUAAGUGGUUGAGCAGCUGCCAUACUGCGAUCCACUGAAGCUUAUCCUUUGCUUGAUGAUUCGA